UCCAGAGGCAUACAGGAUCCAGGGAAAUAGAAUUGGCGCACUCCCAUUUCAUUGGCUGUCUCUCCGCUGUACACAGCCAUCCACCUUACGUUCUAGUCUAGACCGAUAGUGGUUUAACAGGCAGUUUUUUGUAGCUUACAAUCACAAAAGCAAAACGAUUGCAAAGUUAAAACAACAAAUGCCAGAAAUGUACCUCUGCUUUGAUAAACGGUCAUCUUCUCAAGAAAAACUAAAGCCACUGGACCAAGAACUAAUUAAAUGGAAAAAUAAAGCAGAGAUCCUUCAAGAUCGAGUGGAACAACUGGAGAAUGAUAAAAACAUUCUGGAGCAGCAAGUGGCUGAGAUGACUGCUGAAAAAGAGGUUUAUUAUAUAUAGUGACUGAUGCUGUGCAGCCUAAGGGAAAUGAAGAGAGACCCCAGCUGACACCCCAGCAAUCUUCUGACCCAGACUCCAGUUCCAGCUCCGAUUCUGAUUCAAAAAAGAAGAAA
Micropterus dolomieu (smallmouth bass) is the source of this 489-nucleotide long non-coding RNA. RefSeq lists it as uncharacterized. The transcript has 3 exons. NCBI's taxonomy places the organism in Eukaryota, Metazoa, Chordata, Actinopteri, Centrarchiformes, Centrarchidae. The record is from RefSeq and is a predicted model, not a curated record.